This 459-nucleotide ribosomal RNA is filed under the name uncultured bacterium. RNAcentral's name for it is "partial 16S ribosomal RNA". It matches the Rfam family "Bacterial small subunit ribosomal RNA", at positions 338 to 795 of the family's 1533-position model. The record is from RNAcentral.
CCUACGGGUGGCAGCAGUGAGGAAUAUUGGUCAAUGGCCGUAAGGCUGAACCAGCCAAGUAGCGUGAGGGAAGACUGCCCUAUGGGUUGUAAACCUCUUUUAUGCGGGGAUAAAGGUGUCCACGUGUGGAUGUUUGCAUGUACCGCAUGAAUCAGGACCGGCUAAUUCCGGGCCAGCAGCCGCGGUAAUCCGGAGGGUCCGGGCGUUAUCCGGAUUUAUUGGGUUUAAAGGGUGCGUAGGCGGAUUUUUAAGUCAGCGGUAAAAUGUCCGGGCUCAACCCGGGCCGGCCGUUGAAACUGGGGAUCUUGAGUGGGCGAGAAGUAUGCGGAAGGCGUGGUGUAGCGGUGAAAUGCAUAGAUAUCACGCAGAACUCCGAUUGCGAAGGCAGCAUACCGGCGCCCGACUGACGCUGAGGCACGAAAGCGUGGGGAUCGAACAGGAUUAGAUACCCGGGUAGUC